GGAAUAUUGCACAAUGGAUGCCAAUCUGAUGCAGCAACGCCGCGUGAAGGAUGACGGUCUUCGGAUUGUAAACUUCUUUUAUGCGGGACGAGACAGGACGGUACCUCAGGAAUAAGUCUCGGCCAACUACGUGCCAGCAGCCGCGGUAAAACGUAGGAGGCGAGCGUUAUCCGGAUUUACUGGGCGUAAAGCGCGGGUAGGCGGCGGCUUAAGGCAUGCGUGAAAGCUCCCUGGCUCAACCGGGAGAGGUCGUGUGAGACUGGGUCGCUAGAGGCAGGUAGAGGCUGACGGAAUUCCGGGUGGAGUGGUGAAAUGCGUAGAGAUCCGGAGGAACACCAGUGGCGAAGGCGGUCAGCUGGGCCUAGCCUGACGCUCAGACGCGAAAGCAUGGGGAGCGAA
Molecule: ribosomal RNA, 399 nt
Filed under: uncultured bacterium
Lineage: Bacteria
Description: bacterial SSU rRNA
Rfam family: Bacterial small subunit ribosomal RNA
Source: RNAcentral